GAUGAACGCUGGCGGCGUGCCUAAUACAUGCAAGUCGAGCGAACAGACGAGGAGCUUGCUCCUCUGACGUUAGCGGCGGACGGGUGAGUAACACGUGGAUAACCUACCUAUAAGACUGGGAUAACUUCGGGAAACCGGAGCUAAUACCGGAUAACAUGUUGAACCGCAUGGUUCAACAGUGAAAGAAGGUCUUGCUGUCACUUAUAGAUGGAUCCGCGCCGCAUUAGCUAGUUGGUAAGGUAACGGCUUACCAAGGCAACGAUGCGUAGCCGACCUGAGAGGGGGAUCGGCCACACUGGAACUGGGACGCGGUCCAGACUCCUGAGGGAGGCAGCAGUAGGGAAUCUUCCGCAAUGGGCGAGAGCCUUACGGAGCAACGCCGCGUGAGUGAAGAAGGUCUUCGGAUCGUAAAACUCUGUUAUUAGGGAAGAACAAAUGUGUAAGUAACUAUGCACGUCUUGACGGUACCUAAUCAGAAAGCCACGGCUAACUACGUG
This 497-nucleotide ribosomal RNA is filed under the name uncultured bacterium. Its description in RNAcentral is "partial 16S ribosomal RNA". It matches the Rfam family "Bacterial small subunit ribosomal RNA", at positions 28 to 507 of the family's 1533-position model. The record is from RNAcentral.